CCCCGGCGAGGGGAGUGAAAAAGAACCUGAAACCGUGUACGUACAAGCAGUGGGAGCACAGAGCAAUCUGUGUGACUGCGUACCUUUUGUAUAAUGGGUCAGCGACUUAUAUUCUGUAGCAAGGUUAACCGAAUAGGGGAGCCGAAGGGAAACCGAGUCUUAACUGGGCGUUAAGUUGCAGGGUAUAGACCCGAAACCCGGUGAUCUAGCCAUGGGCAGGUUGAAGGUUGGGUAACACUAACUGGAGGACCGAACCGACUAAUGUUGAAAAAUUAGCGGAUGACUUGUGGCUGGGGGUGAAAGGCCAAUCAAACCGGGAGAUAGCUGGUUCUCCCCGAAAGCUAUUUAGGUAGCGCCUCGUGAAUUCAUCUCCGGGGGUAGAGCACUGUUUCGGCAAGGGGGUCAUCCCGACUUACCAACCCGAUGCAAACUGCGAAUACCGGAGAAUGUUAUCACGGGAGACACACGGCGGGUGCUAACGUCCGUCGUGAAGAGGGAAACAACCCAGACCGCCAGCUAAGGUCCCAAAGUCAUGGUUAAGUGGGAAACGAUGUGGGAAGGCCCAGACAGCCAGGAUGUUGGCUUAGAAGCAGCCAUCAUUUAAAGAAAGCGUAAUAGCUCACUGGUCGAGUCGGCCUGCGCGGAAGAUGUAACGGGGCUAAACCAUGCACCGAAGCUGCGGCAGCGACGCUUAUGCGUUGUUGGGUAGGGGAGCGUUCUGUAAGCCUGCGAAGGUGUGCUGUGAGGCAUGCUGGAGGUAUCAGAAGUGCGAAUGCUGACAUAAGUAACGAUAAAGCGGGUGAAAAGCCCGCUCGCCGGAAGACCAAGGGUUCCUGUCCAACGUUAAUCGGGGCAGGGUGAGUCGACCCCUAAGGCGAGGCCGAAAGGCGUAGUCGAUGGGAAACAGGUUAAUAUUCCUGUACUUGGUGUUACUGCGAAGGGGGGACGGAGAAGGCUAUGUUGGCCGGGCGACGGUUGUCCCGGUUUAAGCGUGUAGGCUGGUUUUCCAGGCAAAUCCGGAAAAUCAAGGCUGAGGCGUGAUGACGAGGCACUACGGUGCUGAAGCAACAAAUGCCCUGCUUCCAGGAAAAGCCUCUAAGCAUCAGGUAACAUCAAAUCGUACCCCAAACCGACACAGGUGGUCAGGUAGAGAAUACCAAGGCGCUUGAGAGAACUCGGGUGAAGGAACUAGGCAAAAUGGUGCCGUAACUUCGGGAGAAGGCACGCUGAUAUGUAGGUGAAGUCCCUCGCGGAUGGAGCUGAAAUCAGUCGAAGAUACCAGCUGGCUGCAACUGUUUAUUAAAAACACAGCACUGUGCAAACACGAAAGUGGACGUAUACGGUGUGACGCCUGCCCGGUGCCGGAAGGUUAAUUGAUGGGGUCA
RNAcentral lists this ribosomal RNA (1385 nucleotides) under Escherichia coli. RNAcentral describes it as "partial 23S ribosomal RNA". It matches the Rfam family "Bacterial large subunit ribosomal RNA", at positions 524 to 1892 of the family's 2925-position model. The record is from RNAcentral. Lineage: Bacteria; Pseudomonadati; Pseudomonadota; Gammaproteobacteria; Enterobacterales; Enterobacteriaceae.